GAUGAACGCUGGCGGCGUGCCUAAUACAUGCAAGUCGAGCGAACAGACGAGGAGCUUGCUCCUCUGACGUUAGCCGCGGACGGGUGAGUAACACGUGGAUAACCUACCUAUAAGACUGGGAUAACUUCGGGAAACCGGAGCUAAUACCGGAUAAUAUAUUGAACCGCAUGGUUCAAUAGUGAAAGACGGUUUUGCUGUCACUUAUAGAUGGAUCCGCGCCGCAUUAGCUAGUUGGUAAGGUAACGGCUUACCAAGGCAACGAGGCGUAGCCGACGUGGGAGGGUGAUCGGCCAGAGUGGAAGUAAGGCACGGUCCAGACUGCGACGGGGGGCAGCAGUAGGCGAGCGGCCGCAAUGGGGGAAAGCGUGACGUAGGAACGAGGCGGGAGUGAUGAAGGUCUGCGGAGCGUAAAGCUCUGUGGUUAGGAAAGAACAAAUGUGAAAGUAAAUAUGUACGUCUGGACGGUACCGAAGCAGAAAGCCACGGUUAACUCCGU
This 496-nucleotide ribosomal RNA is filed under the name uncultured bacterium. Its description in RNAcentral is "partial 16S ribosomal RNA". It matches the Rfam family "Bacterial small subunit ribosomal RNA", at positions 28 to 506 of the family's 1533-position model. The record is from RNAcentral.